Molecule: long non-coding RNA, 1190 nt
Organism: Solanum pennellii
Lineage: Eukaryota; Viridiplantae; Streptophyta; Magnoliopsida; Solanales; Solanaceae
Exons: 2
Source: RefSeq, a predicted model, not a curated record
CCAGCCCAUUCCCAUUACCCAGAGCACUCCAAGCAAUAUCAGCUAUACGCACAUCAACUCCAAAUAACACCAAAAAUCAGCACAUUCAUUCUAAAAUACCCGACCUGUGUUGCAUUCUCUUCUUCCUCGCGUGACUGAACGCGAAAAUAAGAGACUCCAGCAAAACCAAAUUCUGGCAGCGACAAAAUCCAGCGCGUGCAGCAACCGUUCCCUGGUUUUCUUUUCUUCGUCCUUGAAGCGUAUCAACCACGAGGGAAGCAAAGGCGGGUGCAACGGAAGGAAAAGGAGAACAGUACGAUGUGUCUAUGUUGCUUUUCUUCCUCGCAGGACUGACCUAGCAGUACGUUUCCAGCAACAAAGGAGCACGUGUUUUUGUCCUUGGGACCUUGAGAUCGAGACACGUCUCAUCCCAAGGACAAGGGAGCAGAUCCAUCCGUCUCUCCCUCUUUUACUCUUUCGUAGUAAAGUUGAAACCUCAAAGAAAGGAUGUUCAUCCAAAUUUGUGAAAGUUUGAGGCGUUUUGGAUUUUGAAUUGGUUUGUUUUGGGGGGGGGGGAAUUCUAUCUGUUUCCUUCCUUUGGCAUAACCCUAAUCCUUGGCCUAUAUAGUCUCUUUUUCUUCACACAACCAGGGAGUUGAAACUUUGGACUCUUUUGGAGUUUGGAUUCUCGAAGAAAGGAAAUAUACAUAAAUCUUAAGGAAGAACAGUUAAGUUAUAUACUAAAUACACUAAGAGAGGCAGAGGUGAUGGGAGUUUAAUUUUGUUCGAAUCCCUGCUUCAUUUUCACUGUUCGUCAACAUUUUCGGAGUGGCAUUCCGUUUGUGUGGAAGUUGCUGCCUCCUCAAGCUCGCUGCUGUCUUGGUUUGCUGCUCGGAUAAAGGUUGUAUACGUCAUUUUUCACACCAUUGUUCCUUGGGGUUGGGACUUUGUUAGUUUGUUCUAGUUGAAGAAAUAGUUAUACCGACUACUAUUCCAUCAAAAGGUGUGUACAUUUGCAGAUGAGAAGUCAAGAACAAAAAACUAUUCAUGGAGGCAUAGUUUAUGAUUAUACCCCUGCGUGGGAUUAAUUAUUUGUAUCUCAUUCGCCUACUAUGUAUCCUCAUUCAGUUUACUUAUAAAUUUUGUAUAAUUUGGGGUUUUUUGGUGCAAUGUAAUGUUUCAAAUGACGUAUACAUCCCUCAAAUUGUGAA